CUUUCAGCAGACCAAUUUCUCUCUCAGAUUGGAGAAAAUAUUUCAAAGAAGAAAAGUCCAUCCCAUCAAAUUAACUACAAAUACAUGGCGUUAGUAUCAUAUCACCAAACCGAUCUCUUGAUCCAAGCCUCUUCUCGCCAUACCUUGGAUACCGAUCUUCUUUAUAACUAUUGCUCUAUUUGCUGGGGGAAACACACAACCGAUCUCCUGAUCCAACCCGAUGCUCGGCAUAUCUUGGAGCCCAAUCUGUUUUCCAACUCUCGCCCUGUUUGCUGCAGGAAACACACAUGCCCUCUCUUCGUGUUGCCGCCGCACAGUUGGGGCCCGAUCAAUCCAUGUUUAUGGGAAAUCUGCUAUUUAUUUAACAAGCCAAGCAAAGUUCAGGACAAUGUCCGCAACAACCUUGAGUUAAUUCAAGGUGAACAAUCAAGGACCGACAAACCAGUAGGUACAUGCUCAUAAUUGCUUUACUGAAAUAGGAGUGGAUGUUCCAGAUUAUAAUUUGUUCAGUGUAGUUGAUGGUGUAAUCUCUUAUAAGUUAAGAUGUUCUACAGUGGUUGCAACCGGUCGAUUGAGGAAAUAGGUGCCACUUAAGUUUUCUGUAAGUUUGUAUUUUGUAGUAAAGGUUUUCAUCAUUGUAGAAACUUCUACAUUUUAUGUACUUUAUUAUUUUUAUAAUUAUAACUCGAAUAGCUAAAAAAAUAAUGUAAGUGAAAAAAUUGGAUGAAAAGCACAUAUACUACAGUGUGUUUGUGAUGUCAUGACGUACCACAUUUCAGCGAUUCCACUUGGAUAAUACAUAAUGAGUAUGAACCUAGAAACUAUGUGUUUGUGACCUUAAGAAAA
Long non-coding RNA from Hordeum vulgare subsp. vulgare (domesticated barley), 846 nucleotides. RefSeq lists it as uncharacterized. The record is from RefSeq and is a predicted model, not a curated record. NCBI's taxonomy places the organism in Eukaryota, Viridiplantae, Streptophyta, Magnoliopsida, Poales, Poaceae. The transcript is spliced from 3 exons.